This 401-nucleotide ribosomal RNA is filed under the name uncultured soil bacterium. RNAcentral describes it as "bacterial SSU rRNA". It matches the Rfam family "Bacterial small subunit ribosomal RNA", at positions 26 to 405 of the family's 1533-position model. The record is from RNAcentral.
AGGAUGAACGCUGGCGGCGUGCUUAACACAUGCAAGUCGACCGAUGAAGGCUGGAGCUUGCUCUGGCUGGAUUAGUGGCGAACGGGUGAGUAACACGUGAGUAACCUGCCCCAGACUCUGGGAUAAGCGCUGGAAACGGCGUCUAAUACCGGAUACGAGCUUCCACCGCAGUGGUGAGGAGCUGGAAAGUAAUUUCGGUCUGGGAUGGACCUCGGCCGGCCUAUCAGCUUGUUGGUGAGGUAAUGGCUCACCAAGGCGACGACGGGUAGCCGGCCUGAGGAGGGUGACCGGCCACGACGUGGGACUGAGACCGACCGGCCCGAGACCGUCCGUACGGGACGGCGAGGCAGGUAGGGGAAUAGUUGGACAACGAAGUGGGGACCGACGAAACGCCUUAGGAA